Molecule: ribosomal RNA, 288 nt
Filed under: uncultured bacterium
Lineage: Bacteria
Description: partial 16S ribosomal RNA
Rfam family: Bacterial small subunit ribosomal RNA
Source: RNAcentral
UUGCCAGCCGCUCAGGUGUGCCAGCCGCCGCGGUAAUACGGAGGAUGCGAGCGUUAUCGGAUUUAUUGGGUUUAAAGGGUGCGUAGGUGGUUAAUUAAGUCAGCGGUGAAAGUUUGUGGCUCAACCAUAAAAUUGCCGUUGAAACUGGUUGACUUGAGUAUAUUUGAGGUAGGCGGAAUGCGUGGUGUAGCGGUGAAAUGCAUAGAUAUCACGCAGAACUCCGAUUGCGAAGGCAGCUUACUAAACUAUAACUGACACUGAAGCACGAAAGCGUGGGGAUCAAACAGG